RNAcentral lists this long non-coding RNA (219 nucleotides) under Salvia miltiorrhiza (redroot sage). Its description in RNAcentral is "long non-coding RNA (SMIL_LNC009797)". Lineage: Eukaryota; Viridiplantae; Streptophyta; Magnoliopsida; Lamiales; Lamiaceae. The record is from RNAcentral.
GAGGAGCAGACUAAGGGCGGAGCCUCAUUAAAACCUUUUCACGGAAAACCCAUUGGGAAAAACCGUGAAAAGGAAAAAGAGUACUCGUCUAAACACAAGACGAAAGUAGGGAAGAGCUGAAGGAGAAUCAACUCUGAGAUUCAGAAUUUCAACGAAAAAAAAAAAAAAAAAACAACAACUGAGUCCCCUAAAGAAAAAGUCCCCGAAAAAAACAUAGCC